GGCACUAUGGUUUAGCUGGCUAAAGUGCCUGUCUCAUAAACAGGAGAUCCUGGCUUCAGCUCUCAAUGGUGCCU
RNAcentral lists this transfer RNA (74 nucleotides) under Chelonia mydas (Green sea turtle). It matches the Rfam family "tRNA". From Rfam's summary of the family: Transfer RNA (tRNA) molecules are approximately 80 nucleotides in length. Their secondary structure includes four short double-helical elements and three loops (D, anti-codon, and T loops). The record is from Rfam by way of RNAcentral. Lineage: Eukaryota; Metazoa; Chordata; Testudines; Cheloniidae.